RNAcentral lists this ribosomal RNA (267 nucleotides) under uncultured bacterium. RNAcentral's name for it is "partial 16S ribosomal RNA". It matches the Rfam family "Bacterial small subunit ribosomal RNA", at positions 793 to 1055 of the family's 1533-position model. The record is from RNAcentral.
GUCCACGCUGUAAACGAUGAGUGCUAGUUGUUGGGAAGUUUACUUCUCAGUGACGCAGCUAACGCGUUAAGCACUCCGCCUGGGGAGUACGGCCGCAAGGUUAAAACUCAAAGGAAUUGACGGGGGCCCCGCACAAGCGGUGGAGCAUGUGGUUUAAUUCGACGCAACGCGAAGAACCUUACCAACCCUUGACAUGUGUAUCGCGGAAGCCAGAGAUGGUUUCCUUCAGUUCGGCUGGAUACAACACAGGUGCUGCAUGGCUGUCGU